This 593-nucleotide long non-coding RNA is filed under the name Solanum tuberosum (potato). RNAcentral's name for it is "long non-coding RNA (STUB_LNC006173)". The record is from RNAcentral. Lineage: Eukaryota; Viridiplantae; Streptophyta; Magnoliopsida; Solanales; Solanaceae.
AUCAUUCCAGAUCUCUCUCCAAUACUUCCAGAUUAUGAUUAACAAUUGCUAUUUGCUUAGGAGAGAGAUCUAAGAGCCAAAAAAGAACAAUGAAAAAACUUCCUUGCAUCUCUUCAUCAUAUCUCUUCUUCCCGACUUCUCCUAAAGCUUGGGUUACGAGCUAAAUUAACUAUACAGUUCGAGAUUUGAGGAAGAUGACCUAAAAACUUCCUCUCUUUUUCAAAUCAGAAACAUUGGUUGUUGCUAAAACAGAAUAGUCUUCAGUUUGGGGAAUCUCAGUAGCUCCCAUCCAAGGUUCAAUUCUCCACCCACAUUGUAAUUUAAUCCCCAUUUUUCCUACCCCGAUUUUAUAAAAAAGAAAAAAAGAAGAAGAAUAGCCUUCAAUUCUCCUUAUUCACUUUCAAUAAUAUUUUAGCAGAGAAGCGUAUGCAUUCGAUACAGUUCUUUUACUAUUUUCAGCUUUCUUAACAGUUGCUUUUUGAUCUCUUUGUAGGUGCUGACGUUUCAACAAACACUUAGAGCUUGUAAUCUUUAUGAUUGUGAACUUGAAGGUAUAUAUGAUUAAAUCCAGGUAUAUACUGUCAUAUUUUCUG